UUAUUUUUAUCAUCACAAGAUGACAUCGCAAUUAUAUAUCUGUGGUUAAACAUAAAUAAAUCAAAACUUACCUCAGCGAAAAAAUUAAUGAAACUGAUUAUAAACGAAGACAAGAAACGUUUUUGUAAAAAAUUUUGAAAUAUAUUAAUCAAAUAUCCGUUAACGUUCAAAAUGCAACAAAAUAUCAAUCAAUAAAUCCUGAUUAACUCGGAAUUCAAGCAAUGUUGAAGAAGCCUGAAAAGUUUUUCAAUAUAUAACAAAUAUCAAUCAUUAUAAUAUUUCAUCUAAUUAUUUUUUUUCAUCACAAUGACGAAUUCUAAGGAGGGAAAGUCAAGCAAUUCGCGAUGAUCACUAAAAAAUAAUUCACCGGACGAUCCUCCUUUCUAUCGUCACGGACUUUCAAUCACCAUGAAGUUCAAAAUGUACGAGAAAAAGAAUUGUUCUUCGCGAUAUAAACGGUGAAUCACAUUAACAUUUUCACCAUGCUGAACGUAAUGGCGGCUAUGUCGACGAAAUUACCUCAAAUAGAAUCUACGUCUUCGUCGAUCCUUGUCAACAAUUCCAUCGUCGCCAUUAGUUCAACGACAACCACAUCGGUCGCGAACGUGACGACAGAAAAUCCGACGGUGGAGAACCUUCCCGAGAAUGUGAACGUGCCGUUGAUGGUGAUCAAAGGUGUCAUCAUGGGCGCCAUCAUCAUCACUGCGGUUCUCGGCAAUAUGCUGGUGAUCGCCAGCGUUCGGAGACAUCGCAGACUCCGUGUGGUCACCAAUUGUUAUGUCGUCAGUCUGGCGGCGGCCGACCUGCUGGUAGCGAUGUGCGCCAUGACCUUCAAUGCCUCGGUGGAACUCUCGGGUGGCAAAUGGCUGUUCGGGGCAGUUAUGUGCGAUUUAUGGAACUCGCUGGACGUGUACUUUAGCACCGCUAGCAUCCUUCAUCUCUGUUGCAUCAGCGUGGACAGAUAUUAUGCAAUAGUGAGUCCGCUCGAGUACACAGUGAUCAUGAAACAGAGUACUGUCGGGUGCAUGUUGGGUAGUGCUUGGGUCUUACCGGCACUGAUAAGCUUUAUUCCGAUCUUCAUGGGAUGGUACACGACCAAGGAACAUCUGGAUUACAUGGUGAAACACCCGGGGAGCUGCGAGUUUCGAGUGAAUUUACCAUAUGCGGUGAUCAGUUCCUGCGUGUCUUUUUGGAUCCCGGGUCUAGUAAUGAUCAUCAUGUACUGGAAGAUUUACAAGGAGGCGAUCCGACAACGGAAAGCUCUCAGUCGAACGUCCAGCAACAUCGUGCUCAACAGCGUGCACCAUCAUCGCUCGUCCACCCGGCAUCAUCACCAUCAGCAGAUGUUGCUGCAAGCCGCCGCCGAUACCGGUGAGCUAGCCCUUCACACGGCACACUUCACGGUGCCCACGGAGCUCCACGCCGUUAACGAUUUGCAUGUUCGUGGUGAAUCGUCCGUACGCGGUGAUCAGUUCCUGCGUGUCCUUCUGGAUCCCCGGUAUCGUGAUGAUCAUCAUGUACUGCAAGAUCUACAAGGAGGCGAUCAGGCAGAGAGCGGCCCUCAGUAGGGCGUCCAGCAGCACGAUAUUGAACAGCGUAAACGCGCGCCGUUCCUCUAGCGGCUCCAGACAUCACUCCAGGACGUCGCAUCAGUUGCUGUUGCAUCCAAGCGAUGCUAGCGAUUACGGAAGACCGCUCUCUUAUAGAGCAUCGGCGGCGGAGCUCAACGUCGAAAAUGGUACUUCGAUACGACAGCAAACAAGAAGUUGGCGGGCCGAACACAAAGCUGCAAGAACACUCGGUAUAAUUAUGGGGGCGUUUCU
Molecule: unclassified non-coding RNA, 1823 nt
Filed under: Camponotus floridanus (Florida carpenter ant)
Lineage: Eukaryota; Metazoa; Arthropoda; Insecta; Hymenoptera; Formicidae
Description: octopamine receptor beta-3R, transcript variant X4
Source: RNAcentral